UACGAAGGGGGCUAGCGUUGCUCGGAAUCACUGGGCGUAAAGCGCACGUAGGCGGCUUCUUAAGUCAGGGGUGAAAUCCUGGAGCUCAACUCCAGAACUGCCUUUGAUACUGAGAAGCUUGAGUCCGGGAGAGGUGAGUGGAACUGCGAGUGUAGAGGUGAAAUUCGUAGAUAUUCGCAAGAACACCAGUGGCGAAGGCGGCUCACUGGUCCGGUACUGACGCUGAGACGCGAAAGCGUGGGGAGCGAACAGG
Molecule: ribosomal RNA, 253 nt
Filed under: uncultured bacterium
Lineage: Bacteria
Description: partial 16S ribosomal RNA
Rfam family: Bacterial small subunit ribosomal RNA
Source: RNAcentral